RNAcentral lists this long non-coding RNA (529 nucleotides) under Brassica rapa (field mustard). RNAcentral describes it as "long non-coding RNA (BRAP_LNC002301)". Lineage: Eukaryota; Viridiplantae; Streptophyta; Magnoliopsida; Brassicales; Brassicaceae. The record is from RNAcentral.
CAUUAUCUAACAGAUUUUCUUGCAAAUUCAUUAAAAAUGAGUUUUCAAAUGGUUACUGUGUUUUUUUUUGUUAUCUGAUCUGAAGAAACAGGGAAAAGGAAGAACAAAGGGAGUUUUUGCGUAUCUUAUUCAUAACCAAAACUUUGUUCCAUACACAUGCAUGCAUAUUAUACAAAGAGAUUUUUUACAUACCUACGUCCACUUUUCGUAGUAACCAUGACCUUGGACAAAGAUAAAAGUGGAGGGACAGGGACAGGGACAGCAAAUAGCAAAGAGAGAAUGGUUUGGAGAUAGGGCUUUCUUUUGGAUGAUAUGGCACUGUGUGUUAGCUUUAAUUGAUUUUAUGACCGGCGAGAUUCAUAACACUGGAGGAGAUAACUCCCUGAUCACGUCAUGUGUGAUACACCCAACAUUUGAUUUUUUUUUUGUGUCUAAAAUUCCACCCAAGAUUGUUUAAAUAGAAUUGAAAAGGUAUGAAGGGCAAAGUACACAAUCUUUUGAAAGUUUAUAUAACGGUUUAAAACGAACA